ACGGGUGAGUAACACGUAUCCAACCUGCCGUCUACUCUUGGACAGCCUUCUGAAAGGAAGAUUAAUACAAGAUGGCAUCAUGAGUCCGCAUGUUCACAUGAUUAAAGGUAUUCCGGUAGACGAUGGGGAUGCGUUCCAUUAGAUAGUAGGCGGGUAACGGCCCACCUAGUCUUCGAUGGAUAGGGGUUCUGAGAGGAAGGUCCCCCACAUUGGAACUGAGACACGGUCCAA
RNAcentral lists this ribosomal RNA (231 nucleotides) under uncultured bacterium. RNAcentral's name for it is "partial 16S ribosomal RNA". It matches the Rfam family "Bacterial small subunit ribosomal RNA", at positions 102 to 334 of the family's 1533-position model. The record is from RNAcentral.